Molecule: ribosomal RNA, 184 nt
Filed under: Etmopterus brachyurus (shorttail lanternshark)
Lineage: Eukaryota; Metazoa; Chordata; Chondrichthyes; Squaliformes; Etmopteridae
Description: partial 12S rRNA
Source: RNAcentral
CACCGCGGUUAUACGAGUAACCCUUAUUAAUAUUUACCCGGCGUAAAGGGUGGUUUAAGGAAAAAAUCUUUUAAUAAUUAAAGUUAAGACCCCAUUAAGCUGUUAUACGCUCUCAUGUGUGGAACUACCAGUAACGAAAGUAACUUUAUUACUCCAGACUUCUUGAUGCCACGAUAGUAGGCCC